Molecule: transfer-messenger RNA, 383 nt
Filed under: Enterobacteriaceae (enterobacteria)
Lineage: Bacteria; Pseudomonadati; Pseudomonadota; Gammaproteobacteria; Enterobacterales
Also listed under: 1 other name
Description: f Enterobacteriaceae X44 Standard tmRNA
Rfam family: transfer-messenger RNA
About the family: Bacterial tmRNA, also known as 10Sa RNA or SsrA, is named for its dual tRNA and mRNA-like properties. Its role is to liberate the mRNA from a stalled ribosome. To accomplish this part of the tmRNA is used as a reading frame that ends in a translation stop signal.
Source: RNAcentral
GGGGCUGAUUAUGGAUUUGACAGAAUAUGUAAAACUUUAAGAGCAUGCCGAGGGGCGGUUGGCCUCGUUAAAAGCCGUAAAAAAUAGAUGCAAAUGAUAAAAACUUUGCACCUGCUGCAUUAGCAGCUUAAUCAGUUUAAUAAGCUGAAGGUGUCCUCUCUACUUAGCCUUCUCUCUUAGGACGAGAAACUAGAGAGGUCAAAUUAAAAGAGAUCGCACAAAAGCUAUGCUUGAAGCUAAUGUGUUAAAAGUAAAUUCAGGCUAGUAUUUAGUAGCGUUGUUCAAUUCGCAAUUAAAUAACGAAUAAAAUAACUGAACUAAGCAUGUAGUGCUGAUAGGCAGAACAAUUCUGGACGCGGGUUCAAAUCCCGCCAGCUCCACAA